This 402-nucleotide ribosomal RNA is filed under the name uncultured Lachnospiraceae bacterium. Its description in RNAcentral is "bacterial SSU rRNA". It matches the Rfam family "Bacterial small subunit ribosomal RNA", at positions 355 to 774 of the family's 1533-position model. The record is from RNAcentral. Lineage: Bacteria; Bacillati; Bacillota; Clostridia; Lachnospirales; Lachnospiraceae.
UGGGGAAUAUUGCACAAUGGGGGAAACCCUGAUGCAGCGACGCCGCGUGAAGGAUGAAGUAUUUCGGUAUGUAAACUUCUAUCAGCAGGGAAGAAAAUGACGGUACCUGACUAAGAAGCCCCGGCUAACUACGUGCCAGCAGCCGCGGUAAUACGUAGGGGCAAGCGUUAUCCGGAUUUACUGGGUGUAAAGGGAGCGUAGACGGCUGUGCAAGUCUGAAGUGAAAGCCCGGGGCUCAACCCCGGACUGCUUUGGAAACUGUGUAGCUUGAGUGCUGGAGAGGUAAGUGGAAUUCCUAGUGUAGCGGUGAAAUGCGUAGAUAUUAGGAGGAACACCAGUGGCGAAGGCGGCUUUUACUGGACAGUAACUGACGUUGAGGCUCGAAAGCGUGGGGAGCAAACA